GACGAACGCUGGCGGCGUGCUUAACACAUGCAAGUCGAACGGAAAGGCCCUGCUUUUGUGGGGUGCUCGAGUGGCGAACGGGUGAGUAACACGUGAGUAACCUGCCCUUGACUUUGGGAUAACUUCAGGAAACUGGGGCUAAUACCGGAUAGGAGCUCCUGCUGCAUGGUGGGGGUUGGAAAGUUUCGGCGGUUGGGGAUGGACUCGCGGCUUAUCAGCUUGUUGGUGGGGUAGUGGCUUACCAAGGCUUUGACGGGUAGCCGGCCUGAGAGGGUGACCGGCCACAUUGGGACUGAGAUACGGCACAGACUACUACGGGAGGCAGCAGUGGGGAAGAUUGCACAAUGGGCGGAAGCCUGAUGCAGCAACGCCGCGUGCGGGAUGACGGCCUUCGGGUUGUAAACCGCUUUCGCCUGUGACGAAGCGUGAGUGACGGUAAUGGGUAAAGAAGCACCGGCUAACUACGUG
RNAcentral lists this ribosomal RNA (468 nucleotides) under uncultured bacterium. Its description in RNAcentral is "partial 16S ribosomal RNA". It matches the Rfam family "Bacterial small subunit ribosomal RNA", at positions 28 to 507 of the family's 1533-position model. The record is from RNAcentral.